RNAcentral lists this ribosomal RNA (528 nucleotides) under Selenops hebraicus. Its description in RNAcentral is "partial 16S ribosomal RNA". The stretch from base 98 to 395 matches the Rfam family "Bacterial large subunit ribosomal RNA", at positions 2074 to 2646 of the family's 2925-position model. The record is from RNAcentral. Lineage: Eukaryota; Metazoa; Arthropoda; Arachnida; Araneae; Selenopidae.
UUUAAAUAAAGACCAGAACAAAAGAUUUAACGUUUUUAUUAUAUUUAUAUUUCAAUAAUUCAAACUUAUCUUAAAUGUAAAAAGACAUUUAUUUCAAAGAAAGACGACAAGACCCUAUUGAACUUAACUUAAGUUAAACUGGGGCAGUUAAUUAAUAAUUACUUUAAUUUUAGUAUCUAAAAAAAUAUCCAAUCCAAUUGACUACUAAUCAAGUUACCAUAGGGAUAACAGCGUAAUAAAUUUCUAAAGCUCUUAUUUAAAAAAAAGCUUACGACCUCGAUGUUGAAUUAAUAACCUAAUUAACGCAAAAGCUAAAAAAGGAAGUCUGUUCGACUUUUAAAAAAUUACAUGAUUUGAGUUCAGACCGGUGUAAGCCAGGUCGGUUUCUAUCUUCUAUUUAAUUCUUACAGUACGAAAGGGCCUAAGAAACUAAUUAAAUUAAUUAAUUGGCAGAAAAAUGCAUUAGAAUUAGAAUCUAAUAAACUAAUAAUCCCUUUCAUCUUCACAUAUCUAAUCAUCACUGUAAGU